Leptopilina boulardi is the source of this 622-nucleotide long non-coding RNA. RefSeq lists it as uncharacterized. The transcript has 3 exons. The record is from RefSeq and is a predicted model, not a curated record. Lineage: Eukaryota; Metazoa; Arthropoda; Insecta; Hymenoptera; Figitidae.
CUUUUACAAAGAAUAUUAAGCGCAAUUAGAAAACGGUUGCAAUUUAUUAUAAUUUGAACUGUUACCGAUUCAAUGGCCAAGCUCCGAUUCAAAAGGCAAGUGGUUACAGACUUUUGUAGUCGGACAAAAGAAAGUUUUUAAGUUUAUUUAUACAAUAUUGGGAAUUUGUGAUUUUGAUAAAAGGACACUUCUAUUAGUGGUUCAUGAUCUUGAAAAUGAAAAUACAUAUCACUGCUAUUUUCCUCAUUCCAUUCGAAGUGAUGAAUUGAAAAAAUAUUGGUUCAAAUGAAAAAGAGAAAUUGUAAAUGAGAGAUGGACAAUUUAUUUUCUGUUUGCUGCCAAACUGGUGGAUGGUGUAGUGGCUGUAAAGAGGCCAGGGGCGAGGAGGGUACCAAGUCACGGGACUAUCAGUGAAAGUGUUGAGAUAGCUGAGGCCUUCCUUGUUCCAUCAUGUGAUGGCACAAACAACCUCGGGCAGCAUUACCUUAUUCUACCACGUUUGUUGCAGACUCUCAGGAUGAUAUUCCGUCGAUUGAUGAUAAUUUGUAGGAUUUAUCUUAUAUGACUCCACUGCAAUCAUUUACAAUGAGAAGUUUAUGUCCAUUGAUUCUUACUGGGAAAA